Molecule: transfer RNA, 79 nt
Filed under: Planctomycetota bacterium
Lineage: Bacteria; Pseudomonadati; Planctomycetota
Description: Planctomycetes bacterium (freshwater metagenome) tRNA-Pro
Rfam family: tRNA
About the family: Transfer RNA (tRNA) molecules are approximately 80 nucleotides in length. Their secondary structure includes four short double-helical elements and three loops (D, anti-codon, and T loops).
Source: RNAcentral
CGGGGUGUAGCGCAGCCUGGAUUAGCGCGCUUGCUUGGGGUGCAAGAGGUCGUGGGUUCGAAUCACGCCACCCCGACUA